RNAcentral lists this ribosomal RNA (420 nucleotides) under Embiratermes transandinus. RNAcentral describes it as "partial 12S ribosomal RNA". The record is from RNAcentral. Lineage: Eukaryota; Metazoa; Arthropoda; Insecta; Blattodea; Termitidae.
CCCUAUUAUUUUGGAAUGUUAAUCUGUUUAUGUGCCUGAGUAGUAUUAGUUAUGUUCUUGAAACUUAAAGAAUUUGGCGGUAUCUCAUUCCGUCCAGAGGAAUCUGUCUCGUUAUCGAUAGUCCGCGUUGGACCUUACUUAGUUGUUUUAUGGUUUGUAUACCGCCGUUUAUUGAUUAUCUUUUUAGGGUUUAUUUAAUUUUCUGGUUUCUUUAUUUUGGUUUUAUUUCAGGUCAAGGUGCAGCUUGUUUCUAAGUGGAAUGAUGGAUUACAUUGUGAUUUGGUUUUUGGAUUGUUGAGUUUGAAUAUUUACAUGAAAUUGGAUUUGGUUGUAAUUGUUUGUAGAUUGUUAUUGUGAUAAGUGGUUCUGGGAUAUGCACACAUCGCCCGUCGCUCUCAUUUGUUGUUAAUGAGAUAAGUC